Molecule: ribosomal RNA, 253 nt
Filed under: uncultured bacterium
Lineage: Bacteria
Description: partial 16S ribosomal RNA
Rfam family: Bacterial small subunit ribosomal RNA
Source: RNAcentral
UACAGAGGGGGCAAGCGUUAUUCGGAAUUAUUGGGCGUAAAGGGCGCGUAGGCGGCUUUGCAAGUGACGGGUGAAAUCCCUCGGCUUAACCGAGGAACUGCCUGUCAGACUGCAUGGCUUGAGACCGGGAGAGGUGAGUGGAAUUCCCAGUGUAGCGGUGAAAUGCGUAGAUAUUGGGAGGAACACCAGUGGCGAAGGCGGCUCACUGGACCGGUACUGACGCUGAGGCGCGAAAGCGUGGGUAGCAAACAGG